Long non-coding RNA from Canis lupus familiaris (dog), 1196 nucleotides. RefSeq lists it as uncharacterized. Lineage: Eukaryota; Metazoa; Chordata; Mammalia; Carnivora; Canidae. The record is from RefSeq and is a predicted model, not a curated record. The transcript is spliced from 3 exons.
CCAAUAGCCUCCUCUCCUCAUUUCCUCGUGAUGCCUUAUGGCCCAUCAUGGGAUGUGUGCCUGCUUCAGGGUCUGCCUGUGUGUCAUCUGGGGUGAGCAGAGAUUCACACUGGUGUGUGCCCUCCUCUGAGGUUCUCUCUGUUAAACAAAUCCCAAACACCCUCCAUUCUGAAGGGUCUACCAUCUAGAGAUAAGGCCAUGCGACUUCUUAAUAGAUGGGAAAGUUUGCAAAGAGCCUUUCUGUACUUCGGUUUUAACUUUUUUAUAGGUAAGGAAGCUAGAAAUGAGAAAAGUUGAGGUCUCCUACAUUUUGGCAGGGGUGGAGUUACAGUUCCCUGUUCAUGAAAAGGGUCCACUGGGGGCUACACAUUUGCAAACACCCAGGUAAAAAUUAGCUACCAGUCAUUUGGAUGUCUCACCCACAACAGGGUGUCUGAAUAUUUGGGAGUGAAUAUUGGGAACCCUCAAGUGCUUGUGGAGAUAGCCUGUGACAGUUUCCUGGAAAAUAUCUCCAGGCCAGAGCCUCUGCCCUGGGAAGAAUCUAUGAUGCUGCAGGAUAUGACGAUGGGGACUCUGGGCUCCUUGUGUCCACAGAAGUUGUUUAAAAAAUAGAAGAGCUAAGAUGAAUAAAUAGCACUUCUCCAGGAUGGUAGGGCCACCGGAAAACAGGCUUAUUUUAAGAACUGAACGUCCUCUGUUUGACGAUGUGCAGAGCCAUGUUUAGAACACAAUGUGCUUGCUGCAGGGAGAAGUCCAUUACACUAAGCCUGAUCUUGUGAUAUCAGGAUUAUUAUGCUGUCCCAAAGCCUGCACCAGCGCCUGGUCCUCCCAGCCUGUGCGUGCAGAACCCUGGCCAGCAGGUGCCCCACAGCCUCCCAGGAAGGAUGGGGCAGCUCACUGGAGGAUGAAGCCUGUCUGGUGUGGAGGCAGCCCCGGCGGGGGUCUCUGGGGAAGAGCCGUCUCUCUUUAUAGCCUCUGACUAUCCUGGCUCCGUGGCAACAGAGAAGUCUGCGGAUGCCGAUCAGAAACCCAGCCAAGUCUCUGCUGAUGGCCCCUUCUCUCGCCGUUGGGGAGCCCAUGGAGACACAGCCUGGGUCGGGACUUGGGGCAUAUUUAUUUCCCCUCUAAAAGUGUUUAUACAUAUUUUAUGAGAUACUAUGUAUCUAAUAAAGAUUCCAGCAUCUUUAAGAAUACAA